RNAcentral lists this transfer RNA (70 nucleotides) under Camelus bactrianus (Bactrian camel). It matches the Rfam family "tRNA". Rfam says of the family: Transfer RNA (tRNA) molecules are approximately 80 nucleotides in length. Their secondary structure includes four short double-helical elements and three loops (D, anti-codon, and T loops). The record is from Rfam by way of RNAcentral. Lineage: Eukaryota; Metazoa; Chordata; Mammalia; Artiodactyla; Camelidae. RNAcentral also lists the same sequence under 1 other name.
GGAAAUAGCUCAGUGGUAGAGCAUAUGCUUAGCAUGCACAAGGUCCUGGGAUCAAUCCCCAGUACCUCCA